UACGGAGGAUGCGAGCGUUAUCCGGAUUUAUUGGGUUUAAAGGGUGCGUAGGCGGACGCUUAAGUCAGCGGUAAAAUUGCGGGGCUCAACCUCGUCGAGCCGUUGAAACCGGGUGUCUUGAGUGGGCGAGAAGUACGCGGAAUGCGUGGUGUAGCGGUGAAAUGCAUAGAUAUCACGCAGAACUCCGAUUGCGAAGGCAGCGUACCGGCGCCCAACUGACGCUGAAGCACGAAGGCGUGGGUAUCGAACAGG
Molecule: ribosomal RNA, 252 nt
Filed under: uncultured bacterium
Lineage: Bacteria
Description: partial 16S ribosomal RNA
Rfam family: Bacterial small subunit ribosomal RNA
Source: RNAcentral